GGGUUGAGCCAAGGAUGACUUGCCGCGCAUAUAUGUAUGCCUAUCGUUUGUUUGAACGUAGAGGAUUUUCGUGGCAAGCAUCCUUGGCUCUACUU
This 95-nucleotide microRNA precursor is filed under the name Manihot esculenta (cassava). Lineage: Eukaryota; Viridiplantae; Streptophyta; Magnoliopsida; Malpighiales; Euphorbiaceae. The record is from RNAcentral.